CAACUUUACGCUCGGCCCGACCAAGAGGAGUGAUGUGGCGUCGUCGUCACAAGACGACAAGCUACAAGCAGGCAUGAAUAGCGGCCCAUUCGUUGUUCCGCCCGCUGUGAUUGGCCCACGAGAAACAGACCUAAGGCGGCCAGUUGUCCCAUCACUCACCUAUAAAAGGGAAGAAGGUUGAUGUGACAAGACAUAACGUGUGCUGAGAGAGUACAGUGAGUACAGCAAAGAGCUCGGCUUGUAGUCUCCUAAGUGUCGAUCAGUUUUCUUCUCCUGUUAUAACUUAUAUUCGCCGAUCUUUGAUUAAUAUAAGACGUGUCUUCUUGUUCGACCUCUAUCUUGGAUUUGAUACUCCAUGUGACGAACUCAUCAAUCAACAGAUAUGUGAUGCAGAUAGACCAUAAGUAUAUGUACAACAGUGGUUGGAUUGGAUCUCAUCAGACCCGCCGGUUGGGUUUUGGAUGAUAACUCCGAGCAAUGAGUUCCGUCUUGGUGGCAUCAAGCAAGACUUCACCUCUCAUGCCGGACAGAUCACCCUAUCCGUUAGUCACUUAAUUAACUUACCAUUUUAUAAACAAGUAUACAUAUUUCUAAAUUUUCUACCAUGAUUAACUUUGAAUAUAUAUUAAUAUAUUGUUUAUUUAUUUAUUUUGGUAACGAUGUAGUAGUAGACAAUAUCUGAG
RNAcentral lists this long non-coding RNA (683 nucleotides) under Capsella rubella. RNAcentral's name for it is "long non-coding RNA (CRUB_LNC005060)". Lineage: Eukaryota; Viridiplantae; Streptophyta; Magnoliopsida; Brassicales; Brassicaceae. The record is from RNAcentral.